GGAGGGAGGCCGGGAUACCUCCCGGAGGAUCUUUGGGUCCUCCGAAUUCCUGGCGUUGUGGCCGCUUUCGAUGGAGCGUUUGGAUUGACGUUUGGUCAGUGCCGCAGAGACUGGAAAUCAGAAAUAAGAAGAAAGUAAAAUGCUGGAAAUACUCAGCAGGUUGGGUGUCAAAAGUACUGGACCGUCUGCCGACAGUCCCCAUGCACACAAAAACGAUUAUGUUAUAUGGGGCCGGGGAGCAGGGCAGGCCAGCCAGUACUGCAGAGGCAGACAGUGAGAGCAAGAGAGUGGACAAUUGGCGAGGUGCGCACACAUAACACACGCGGACUCAGAGCUUUCAGCAGCUGAGCUGCAGCCUGGGACAGAACCAAGUCCUGUAAGAGAAAUGCUGCGGCUGUGUGCUAGGAAAGUGUUGUUCUCCCUGCUGGUGGAGUACGAUGUUAAUCUGCCUGCUGGUGCUGGAUUGGAGCUGCUGUCUGAAGAGAGGACUUUGACACCAGAGGGAAAAUCGCUCCAUGGAAACUGGGCUUGAGUGCAACAUGUGAAUACACAGGCCAGCCACUGUAGCACUGAGGAAUUGAUCGGAAGUGCCAGAUCUUCUCAUGUACUAAAGUUGAUGUCUCUCAUCCCCCUGUCAGUCUCUGAAAGAUCUGCACCAGCUGGAACCAAGCCAGAGAACGCAGCUAUUUAUACACAGCACUGACCUUUCAUGCAAUCUGCUCAUGUAAAUAGACAAACAGAAUCCAUUAAGCAAGUUGGGUCUGUUAGAAUCUUUUUUGUUGCUGUGGUUGUGAAUUUUAUAUUUUCUCCCCUCUCUUCUUUUUAAAUCUCCCUGCUCAUUCCACAGCUAAAUGGUAAGUCCAGCUCUCAGGCCUCCCUGUUAAUGCUAAUCUGUAGUUUGCUGUCAUCGCAAAUAUAAGGGGUGCAUGCAUGGUGGGUAGUGGAAGAGAGGCAUGUUGCCUUAUAAUUCCUCGUUCUAUUCUUGCGUAAACAUCUGGCUUCACCUCUCUCCCAUUAUGGGUACCUUCUCCUGUUGGAACACUGAGGUGAAGAACACCUUCCCCUCCUUAAGGUGACAGAUCCUUGACGAGGCAAAUGAAGGUUGAGAUGAAGUCAGGGAUGGGAGUUGCCAUUUCUCAAGCCGGAUUGUGACCUAAAGAAAUUGAUGAGAUGUAUUGGCUUCUACUUGGGCACAGCUGGACCCCACAGGCUGAUGUCCAAACUAGUCAAGCAGUCUGGAGCUUUGAAAAAAGAUACGUAGAGAGUGGCUACUGAACAGAGUCACAGGAGUCAGUUGAUGAA
Long non-coding RNA from Carcharodon carcharias (great white shark), 1302 nucleotides. RefSeq lists it as uncharacterized. Lineage: Eukaryota; Metazoa; Chordata; Chondrichthyes; Lamniformes; Lamnidae. The transcript is spliced from 3 exons. The record is from RefSeq and is a predicted model, not a curated record.